GUGGCAAAGAAGAAGUUGAGCAUCAUGGUGACAAACCUCUGUUGUUGUGGAGAAGCUCCUGCUGUGCAACUUUCACAGUCCUUUGUUUGAGGAACUUCUAUUCCCUUUUCAUUCAAAGGACUUUUUGGUGCCUAUUUGUGAACUGCUGGUGGCAAGAGAGGCAUGUGACACCUGAGAAGAUUCAAUAUGCGUGUGAUGUGAUGGACGUUCUACUGUGGGAUUAACUCAUUAUCAUCCAGCUUCCACUCAUCUCUGUUUCUCCAAAAAAGGACUGGUUUGACUUUUUUAUAAUACUUUGGGACUCUUGAGGAGGCCACAGGCCCAAAUGGACUCAAAUUGAUUCUUUUUUUCUCUUUUUGUAUUUGUGGGUGGUGGGUUGAGGAUUAAAUUGCUUGUGUCUGUGUAGAGGUGGGAUUUGUAUUCCAUAUUAGCCUGUUCAUCUUUACAAUAACACCAGAAAAGUACUGAGGCACUGGGGUUCAAAGGACCAUGGUCAGGUGGAAGCAGUUGUUGGACCAUGAAGUACUUCUGAUGAAAAGCCUGCAUAUCAGCUGACUGCAGUGGUUGCUUUGUCUUUGUUUGCUGGACAGUUUCGAUGUCUCAGUAAGCUUGUGAAGAUCGCAAGGCUCCUCAUUUCCCACCGCAUGUGUAACAUGUAUGAUACUUUAGAAUACGAGUUGGAUGGUCAACAUGUCAAUGAAGACAAUCUCUGUCACUGAUCCGCUGGGAAACGAGGAAUUGCAUGAGAGAAAAAUUCUGCGGAACUGGAGAUGGUGGGAUACAAAGACUACUGUGCUGAAUGGCAAAUAAAAGCAAUGCAGCACAACCCACAGCAAGAUUCUAGCAGCUGUGGAGUGUUAGUACUGAAGGAGAGAUUGGCAACAUGCAGACAACAAAAGCAGCUGUUAGCACUGCACAAAUGGAGCCUGUUCACUGCUUGAAUGUAAAGGCAAUACAGAGGACUACUGCAUAGUUUGCUGUAUGCUGGAAGUGGAUGCUGACAAGAGCUUGAUUGAAAUGGUGCAGUGUGAUGAGUGCAACCGCUGGGCACAUUUUUAGUGUGCCCAGUAUGAUAAUGAAAAAGACACCAGUUACCAGUGCUAAACAAAUGAACCUCAAUUUGUUUUUAUUUUCUUUGUUGUGCACUUUACAGUUGGUGUCAAGGACUUGAAAGUUUACUUCAUUGUAUGUCAUUUGCUGUGUGCAUUGUUUUUAAAGAACAGAUUAAAAAAACUGACUAAAUAAGCAGUAUUUUUUUCCUAAAAACAUGGUGUCUCUCUGAUUAACAUUUACAAUAUUAUGUUCAAUUAAAAACAAAGUUUGAACAGGUUAGUCCAAGCUGUGUCAGGUUAGACAUUCUUUUAGCAUAUAGUAACAGUAACCAGGUAUGUAAGGGAAAAAAAGACAUUUCUCCAAAAUUAAUAACAGCUAGUCUCCAUUGCAAUUAAAGCAGUAGUGAAGCACAUAAAAGGCACACCGGAUUCAGACUGAACUCCAAUCAUCUGCUGGAUGUAUUGUUUCAUGAGGUGAUUUAGGCUAUCAAAUUAUCAUACCAAUGGUUUUAGUGCUGAGAGUAUCAUUUUCUGAGGUGAUUUAGGCCAUUAAAUUAUCCUACCUAUAGUUUUAAUGCAAGGCGUAUCAUUGUAUGAGGUUAUUUAGGCUAUCAAAUUAUGCUACCAAUGUGUUUAAUGCUGGGAGUAUCAUUGUAUGAGGAAAUUUAGGCUAUCGAAUUAUGCUACCAAUGGUUUUAAUGCUGGGAGUAUUGUUUUAUGAGGUCAUUUAGGCUAUCAAAUUAUCCUACCUACGGUUUUAAUGCUGAGAGUGUUGUUUUAUGAGGAGAUUUAGGCUAUCAAAUUACCCUGCCAAUGGUUUUAAUGCUGGGAGUAUUGUUUUAUGAGAUUUAUGCUCUCAAAUUAUCCUACCUAUGGUUUUAAUGCUGGGAGUAUCAUUUUAUGAGGUCAUUUAGGCUAUCAUAUUAUCCUACCUAUGGUUUUACUACUGAGAGUGUUGUUUUAUGAGGAGAUUUAUGCUCUCAAAUUAUCCUACCUAUGGUUUUAAUGCUGGGAGUAUCAUUUUAUGAGGAGAUUUAGGCUAUUGAAUUAUGCUACCAAUGGUUUUAAUGCUGGGAGUAAUGUUUUAUGAGGUCAUUUAGGUUAUCAUAUUAUCCUACCUAUGGUUUUACUGCUGGGAGUGUUGUUUUAUAAUGAGGUUUAGGCUAUCAAAUUAUCCUACCUACGGUUUUAAUGCUGAGAGUGUUGUUUUAUGAGGAGAUUUAGGCUCUCAAAUUAUCCUACCUAUGGUUUUAAUGCUGGGAGUAUCAUUAUAUGAGGAGAUUUAGGCUAUCGAAUUAUGCUACCAAUGGUUUUAAUGCUGGGAGUACCAUUUUAUGAGGUCAUUUAGGCUAUCAAAUUAUCCUGCCUAUAGUAAUAUAACACCUGAAUGCAAAGUCCCUUUCCUCCUUGAUACAAACAGCAACCAGUUUGGGGAAGAAACCUACUGUGUUUUAGGCUUACAUGUCUCCUCAAUUUCCUGUAAAGUUAGAUCCUAUGUCCAUCUGGCCAGACGUGUUCAAAAUGCUGCUUAUCCUACAUUUCAUCAGCAUCUGCAUGGGGAUGUGCAGGAUGAUCUUGCAGAACCCAGUGACAUGAGCAAAAUGCAAAACUGCCUAGCGUACUGCUAACAGGUGCCAAACGCAGGCAUCGUAGGCCUGCUCCACAAUAGACGUGACCUGUGAUGCGUAUGCCAAAGGUCACAGCACUCCACUGCUGCAACUCCACUGCUGCUGUUACUUUGCAGUAACACCGCAGAAAGGGCAUUAUCUGAGGCUACUGUCUCCAGAAUGAACGACAGAUCACGGAGCUGCCUUGAGUGGCUUUGAGGGUUUCAAAAGCAGAUA
This is a long non-coding RNA of Colossoma macropomum (tambaqui), 2896 nucleotides long. RefSeq lists it as uncharacterized. The transcript is spliced from 10 exons. The record is from RefSeq and is a predicted model, not a curated record. Lineage: Eukaryota; Metazoa; Chordata; Actinopteri; Characiformes; Serrasalmidae.